ACCAGCUUCAGCUAUGAAAAAGCAUAUACAUACACUUUCAAAAUCCAUAUCAUAAAUUUCUAGGGUUUGAAUUUUCAAAUGCAAAUCCAUUCUUUUUCUUCUUCUUCUUCAUAGAUCAGAGAGAGAGAGAGAGAGAGUGUGUGUGUGAUAAAUUGAAAUGAUAAUGCCAAGGCAGAAUCGGGUUGUGGAGGGUUUGAUUCUCGGAUCCUGCAAGAUCCGAAAAAGGGGUUGCUCUUCGUCUUCGUCCUCUGUGUUGCAGAAUUACCAAUUCAAGCGGGCCAUUUUGGUGGGUAAGCCUCGGGGAUCCAGAUCGAGCACUCUGGUUCUGUCUUGGAGGACGGCGGCGGCGGCUUUGGAUUCUCCCAAGUACGUGCCGUCGCAGAGCGGUGGUGGGAGGUCGAGGCCAGUGUUUGCGAGGAAGCUGGCGGCGACGCUGUGGGAGAUGAAUGAGGUUCCGUCGCCUAGGGUUGGGGACAAUUUGGAAGAGAAGAAAGCGAUCAAGAGAGAGAUGAGAGUUAGAGAGAGAAUGGGGGUGCCGAGAUCGGUGCAUUCGGGUUCUCUACCUCCGCAUUUGUCUGAUCCAUCUCACAGUCCUGUUUUAGAGGUACUGUAUGCGUUGGGGUCUGCUACCCCCUACAAAAAAAUUACGGGAAUGUGCUUGGAAAAAGCUUUACAUCCAGGUGAAUGAUGACCGGAUUAUUCUUGACAAGACUCUUACUGAUCAAGUGUCUAUAUGGAAAAACAUCAGAGGCCUGACUGAUAAGGUGGUCUUGGACCAUGAUUGCUCUGGAGAAACAUGUACUUACUCACAAAUUGGAGAUGUAUUUGUUUGUGAGAAGACUGGGCAGGUUCAUGUUUGUGAUGAUACAUGUAGAGAAGCUGUUUUGGACCCUACAAAUGAGCUUUUGGUUUGUACAAUAUCUGGACAUUGUUUUGAUAGAUUUCUGUCACCAGCUGAAAUGGAACCAGACACUGAUUGCUGAAAAGGUUAACGAUAGAUGGGAGAUAUGUGUCAGUCUUACCGAAUGUUGUACCAGGUCAAAGGAAGAUCCUUUUCUGUUCUUUCAAGUGCAACUUUGUGAAGGAAGCAAAAGUUGCUCAAUUCUCUGGUUAUGUAUCUGAGCAUUCAGCUUACCUUCAUGGUGAGCAGAGUCUUGCCAGUACCAUUAUUGGCAUGGCACAAGAUUAUGUGGGCAGCAAUAACUUAAACCUGCUUCAACAAAACGGUCAAUUUGGCACUCGCCAUCAGGGAGGCAAAGAUCAUGCGAGUGCUAGGUACAUAUACACUCAGCUUUCUCCUAUCACACGGUUCAUGUUCCCCAAGGAUGAUGAUAUACUUCUUGAUUACUUGAAUGAAGAUGGGCAAUCUAUUGAACCUAUCUGGUGGAUUCUGUAGUUUACCUUGUUGACGCGCAUGACAAAAAGAGAUUUGCAGAGGC
Non-coding RNA from Camellia sinensis, 1439 nucleotides. NCBI's taxonomy places the organism in Eukaryota, Viridiplantae, Streptophyta, Magnoliopsida, Ericales, Theaceae. The record is from RefSeq and is a predicted model, not a curated record.